Long non-coding RNA from Passer domesticus (house sparrow), 336 nucleotides. RefSeq lists it as uncharacterized. The record is from RefSeq and is a predicted model, not a curated record. The transcript has 3 exons. Lineage: Eukaryota; Metazoa; Chordata; Aves; Passeriformes; Passeridae.
CAAACAGCACACGAUCUCCAGGAGGCCACAGUCAGAGAAACACUCAGCUAGAGAGAAGGCUGAGGAAGAAAUUGGAGUUUGAUCCCUGCAGGAUGUGUCCAUCUCAGAGAAAAUGCCCAUGCAGGUGCACUGGCUGCCUCAGCAGAGAGGUCAGGGAUUGAACGGGUGAUGGAGUCUUCAGUAUCUACACAUCUCUGAAGGAGGAAUGGAAGAGGAUCAAGGCAGAAUCGAGACAUGGAGAGCAAGUCCCUGUGGCAAGCUGGAAAGGGAGAGAGGCUGGGCUGGGGAGCACAGCACAACAUCCCCACAUCAGGCUCAGGCAGGACUUGGAGGAGC